RNAcentral lists this long non-coding RNA (549 nucleotides) under Canis lupus familiaris (dog). RNAcentral describes it as "lncRNA (ENSCAFG00030016857.1)". Lineage: Eukaryota; Metazoa; Chordata; Mammalia; Carnivora; Canidae. The record is from RNAcentral.
AUAGCUACUUUUUUUGUAUUACAUUAGAUAUAAUUAAUGAGUAUUUAUACAGUGUAUAUUUAUACAAUAUUCCCAUAGUCCUGCCAAGACCUCUGAAAGCUCUGAAUGAUACUAAAGCCCUUAUUCUGUUGCCUCUACUAAUCCAUUUUCCAAUAUUUUCCACCCUGUUCUUUUCCCCAGGAGGCAGAACCAUAUGAACUACGCUAACAUGACUCCUUUGCCUUAGGAUUUUAAUUGGGUUUGUCAAUGAAAGCACCAGCCAGAGUAAAACCAAGGAGCUGGUACCACAGAGAACUAAGGAAGGUGAUGGCAGAGUAAGAUUGGAGAUGGAAAGGAAAUAUGGAAUUGCUGGAACAUCUCAGAAGACUGGUUAAAAAGAAAAAAAAUGAGUCAAGAAUCAAAAAUAACUGUUCUGCCAUAACACCAAAAGAAUAUCAACAUAUACGGAAACUCUAAGAGGAAGAGCUGGCCUGAGUUCAAGAGAGACAGUAAUUCUGGAUGAAAGCCUCACCUCCUAGGAGAACAAAUACCCAUAAAGGUGUGCAUAAU